This 524-nucleotide ribosomal RNA is filed under the name uncultured bacterium. RNAcentral describes it as "partial 16S ribosomal RNA". It matches the Rfam family "Bacterial small subunit ribosomal RNA", at positions 28 to 523 of the family's 1533-position model. The record is from RNAcentral.
GACGAACGCUGGCGGCGUGCUUAACACAUGCAAGUCGAACGGACAGACAGAGAGCUUGCUCUCUUGAAGUUAGUGGCGAACGGGUGAGUAACGCGUAAUCAACCUGCCCUUCAGAGGGGGAUAACAACGGGAAACCGUUGCUAAUACCGCGUACGAUUCAUGAACGGCAUCGUUUAUGAAUGAAAGGUGGCCUCUAUGUAUAAGCUAUCGCUGAAGGAGGGGAUUGCGUCUGAUUAGCUAGUUGGAGGGGUAACGGCCCACCAAGGCAAAGAUCAGUGGCCGGUCUGAGAGGAUGAACGGCCACAUUGGGACUGAGACACGGCCCAAACUCCUACGGGAGGCAGCAGUGGGGAAUCUUCCGCAAUGGACGAAAGUCUGACGGAGCAACGCCGCAUGAGUGAUGAAGGUCUUCGGAUUGUAAAGCUCUGUUAAUCGGGACGAAAGAGUUCUGCGUGAAUAAUGCCGAAAAGUGACGGUACCGGAAUAGAAAGCCACGGCUAACUACGUGCCAGCCGCCGCAGUAA